UUUACAGUGACACGUGGCCCACAUCUAUCCAAAAUGCAUCGGAAGCUGGAAACCUACAACUUUUACCGAUUCGAGUCCAAAUGAAAGUCCUUGUCAAAGUCAACUAACUAUGGAAUUCCCCGAGCCUGAAAUGUGAGAAAAUGAGGAUGGUGAGAUUAUAAAAUCCCAGUGAGUAAACAGAUACCAUCUAAACUAUUUAAAGUCGAGUAAAUGGAGACAAUUAAAAUAAAUCAUCAUACUGUAAUUUCAUUACCUUUCAACUCAUUUCAACCAAAUAAAAUCAAUCCAUAAAAAUCGAGUAAUCAACUUGGCUUAUGAAUUUCUUAAAACUUUGGCUCGUGCCAAAACUCAUACUCGGUGAUACCUUGCGCAGGGCAUCCAACCGAGUCCGCCAAGGCUGUUAAAAUUUUGUGUACACUUAAAAUAUAUUUUUGUUUGAAAAAAAUACAGCCGUUCCUUGGCGUUGGCUGAGUUCCCCUUCACGUGGUG
This 489-nucleotide long non-coding RNA is filed under the name Theobroma cacao (cacao). RNAcentral's name for it is "long non-coding RNA (TCAC_LNC006249)". The record is from RNAcentral. Lineage: Eukaryota; Viridiplantae; Streptophyta; Magnoliopsida; Malvales; Malvaceae.